RNAcentral lists this ribosomal RNA (253 nucleotides) under uncultured bacterium. RNAcentral describes it as "partial 16S ribosomal RNA". It matches the Rfam family "Bacterial small subunit ribosomal RNA", at positions 524 to 776 of the family's 1533-position model. The record is from RNAcentral.
UACGUAGGGUGCAAGCGUUGUCCGGAAUUAUUGGGCGUAAAGAGCGUGUAGGCGGCCCGAUUAGUCCGCUGUGAAAGUCCAGGGCUCAACCCCGGAAUGCCGGUGGAUACUGUCGGGCUAGAGUCCGGAAGGGGCGAGUGGAAUUCCUGGUGUAGCGGUGGAAUGCGCAGAUAUCAGGAGGAACACCGGUGGCGAAGGCGGGUCUCUGGGCCGAUACUGACGCUGAGGAGCGAAAGCGUGGGGAGCGAACAGG